Molecule: transfer RNA, 85 nt
Filed under: Pseudomonas syringae pv. actinidiae
Lineage: Bacteria; Pseudomonadati; Pseudomonadota; Gammaproteobacteria; Pseudomonadales; Pseudomonadaceae
Description: tRNA-Tyr
Rfam family: tRNA
About the family: Transfer RNA (tRNA) molecules are approximately 80 nucleotides in length. Their secondary structure includes four short double-helical elements and three loops (D, anti-codon, and T loops).
Source: RNAcentral
GGUCGGAUAGUUCAAGUGGUCAAAGACGGCAGACUGUAAAUCUGCUCCCGAGGGUUCGUUGGUUCAAAUCCAGCUCCGACCACCA